Molecule: ribosomal RNA, 253 nt
Filed under: uncultured bacterium
Lineage: Bacteria
Description: partial 16S ribosomal RNA
Rfam family: Bacterial small subunit ribosomal RNA
Source: RNAcentral
UACGGGGGGGGCAAGCGUUGUUCGGAAUUACUGGGCGUAAAGGGCUCGUAGGCGGCCAACUAAGUCAGACGUGAAAUCCCUCGGCUUAACCGGGGAACUGCGUCUGAUACUGGAUGGCUUGAAUCCGGGAGAGGGAUGCGGAAUUCCAGGUGUAGCGGUGAAAUGCGUAGAGAUGUGGAGGAACACCGAUGGCGAAGGCAGCCCCCUGGGCUAACACUGACGCUCAUGCACGAAAGCGUGGGGAGCAAACAGG